UGUGGUGUGGAGUCGUGGCAUCGCCAUGUUUGAGUUCAGCUCAAACAGCACCUCAUUUUUGAGAAAGAGGAUAGGAACAAAGGUGGAGGAGUGGAAACUGGUGUAUGUGUAGAUUGAGCAGAGAUUGUACUAGCUCCAGUUGUGUUCCUCUUCAUGAAGAUUUUGGACCUUCAUUGAGACGAGGCACAACCCCGUGAGGAUCCAGAGGCAUCUUAAGAUGUACCAGCUCAAGUUGGAUUCCUCUUCAUGAAGAUUUCGGACUUUCGAAGAGAAGUUGCCAACACCAAGAGGAUUUUGAGAAGAACCACCUCUUAAUUAAAACACAAAAUAACAAACUA
Long non-coding RNA from Tachysurus fulvidraco (yellow catfish), 338 nucleotides. RefSeq lists it as uncharacterized. The record is from RefSeq and is a predicted model, not a curated record. Lineage: Eukaryota; Metazoa; Chordata; Actinopteri; Siluriformes; Bagridae. The transcript is spliced from 3 exons.